Myotis davidii is the source of this 75-nucleotide non-coding RNA. The record is from Rfam. NCBI's taxonomy places the organism in Eukaryota, Metazoa, Chordata, Mammalia, Chiroptera, Vespertilionidae.
GGCAGUUCUCAGGUGAUGUAUCCGGGAAUUGGGCUCCCUUCUCUCUGGUUCCAGGUGCAUCACCCAAGAACCGUA